RNAcentral lists this ribosomal RNA (903 nucleotides) under Hebeloma sp. UE-2011. RNAcentral describes it as "LSU rRNA". It matches the Rfam family "Eukaryotic large subunit ribosomal RNA", at positions 47 to 935 of the family's 3401-position model. Lineage: Eukaryota; Fungi; Basidiomycota; Agaricomycetes; Agaricales; Hymenogastraceae. The record is from RNAcentral.
UAAGCGGAGGAAAAGAAACUAACAAGGAUUCCCCUAGUAACUGCGAGUGAAGCGGGAAAAGCUCAAAUUUAAAAUCUGGCGGUCUCUGGCCGUCCGAGUUGUAAUCUAGAGAAGUGUUAUCCGCGCUGGACCGUGUACAAGUCUCCUGGAAUGGAGCGUCAUAGAGGGUGAGAAUCCCGUCUUUGACACGGACUGCCAGGGCUUUGUGAUGCGCUCUCAAAGAGUCGAGUUGUUUGGGAAUGCAGCUCAAAAUGGGUGGUAAAUUCCAUCUAAAGCUAAAUAUUGGCGAGAGACCGAUAGCGAACAAGUACCGUGAGGGAAAGAUGAAAAGAACUUUGGAAAGAGAGUUAAACAGUACGUGAAAUUGCUGAAAGGGAAACGCUUGAAGUCAGUCGCGUUGGCCGGGGAUCAACCUUGCUUUUGCUGGGCGUACUUUCCGGUUGACGGGUCAGCAUCAAUUUUGACCGUUGGAUAAAGUCCAGGGGAAUGUGGCAUCUUCGGAUGUGUUAUAGCCCUUGGUCGCAUACAACGGUUGGGAUUGAGGAACUCAGCAUGCCGCAAGGCCGGGUACUUGUACCACGUUCGUGCUUAGGAUGCUGGCAUAAUGGCUUUAAUCGACCCGUCUUGAAACACGGACCAAGGAGUCUAACAUGCCUGCGAGUGUUUGGGUGGAAAACUCGGACGCGUAAUGAAAGUGAAAGUUGAGAUCCCUGUCGUGGGGAGCAUCGACGCCCGGACCAGACCUUUUGUGACGGAUCCGCGGUAGAGCAUGUAUGUUGGGACCCGAAAGAUGGUGAACUAUGCCUGAAUAGGGUGAAGCCAGAGGAAACUCUGGUGGAGGCUCGUAGCGAUUCUGACGUGCAAAUCGAUCGUCAAAUUUGGGUAUAGGGGCGAAAGACUAAU